This is a long non-coding RNA of Drosophila subpulchrella, 474 nucleotides long. RefSeq lists it as uncharacterized. Lineage: Eukaryota; Metazoa; Arthropoda; Insecta; Diptera; Drosophilidae. The transcript is spliced from 3 exons. The record is from RefSeq and is a predicted model, not a curated record.
GGACAUGCCAAAAAAACAGAACAACAACGGAUUAGCGGAACCGUUGUUGUUGUUGCUUGUUGUUUUUCUGGAAGGCACGCGCCUUUUUUCGUCUUUUUCACUUGCGUUUACUUAAGUGAAGGAGUUAGAAGUGACAGAAAUCUACGAGCAAUUAACUUUGUCAAAUUCAAUAGUGUCUUAAAAUUGAAAUAGAAACAAUUCCCAGACAAGGCUGAUGGUAAAAAUGGAUGGCUAAGUCAAUCCAUUUUAAGCAUAUUAUCCGAGGAACUUGUUCUGUCCCACAACUUGGAGGGGGCCAAAACAAGAAGAAGCUCAAAGUCUACCCAAAUUUCGUCCGCGCCUUGUUAAAUUCAAUCGCUCGGAGCCCUCGGAGCCUCCCGAAAAGGCACUGCAAAAAGCAAUGAGGUGCGUGAAAAACCAGAUGCUGAAGAACCGACGACUCCGAUAACACCGGGAACCCCCGAACUGAAAUUU